This 348-nucleotide unclassified non-coding RNA is filed under the name uncultured fungus. Its description in RNAcentral is "partial internal transcribed spacer 2". Lineage: Eukaryota; Fungi. The record is from RNAcentral.
AACGCAAGUGGCGCUCCAGGCAACUGGAGCAUGUUUGUCUGAGGGUUGUAUAAAUCUAUGUUUGGGAUUUGUGUUUGAAUCUUUUCAUUAAGGUUUGAACUCUCCCUAAAUGCAUAGCACUGAUCAAUUUCAAAUUAUUCAUUUAAUUUGAAAAAUCUAUGAAAGAUUGAAGAAUUUUGAAAAAAAACAAAAAAAAUGCGAGUUGAGAUACAAAUCUUGACUUCAUUUUUGUUACGCGGAGUCACAUCCGUGUAUCAUAAGCAUUUUUUUUAAAGCAAAAAACUUCUUUCUUUUCAAAAACAAAAAAAUCGCAACCUCAGAUCAAGCAGGAUUACCCGCUGAACUUAA